UGGGGAAUAUUGGACAAUGGGCGAAAGCCUGAUCCAGCCAUGCCGCGUGUGUGAAGAAGGUCUUCGGAUUGUAAAGCACUUUAAGUUGGGAGGAAGGGCAGUUACCUAAUACGUAUCUGUUUUGACGUUACCGACAGAAUAAGCACCGGCUAACUCUGUGCCAGCAGCCGCGGUAAUACAGAGGGUGCAAGCGUUAAUCGGAAUUACUGGGCGUAAAGCG
This 220-nucleotide ribosomal RNA is filed under the name uncultured Pseudomonas sp. Its description in RNAcentral is "partial 16S ribosomal RNA". It matches the Rfam family "Bacterial small subunit ribosomal RNA", at positions 355 to 567 of the family's 1533-position model. The record is from RNAcentral. Lineage: Bacteria; Pseudomonadati; Pseudomonadota; Gammaproteobacteria; Pseudomonadales; Pseudomonadaceae.